GACGUAGGAUGCAAGCGUUGUCCGGAAUUAUUGGGCGUAAAGAGUUCGUAGGCGGUUACUUAAGUCUGGUGUUAAAGACGGGAGCUCAACUCCCGCAUGGCAUUGGAUACUGGGUGGCUAGAGUGUGGUAGAGGUCUCGGGAAUUCCAGGUGUAGCGGUGAAAUGCGUAGAUAUCUGGAGGAACACCGGUGGCGAAAGCGCGAGACUGGGCCAUAACUGACGCUGAGGAACGAAAGCCAGGGGAGCGAAAGGG
This 253-nucleotide ribosomal RNA is filed under the name uncultured bacterium. RNAcentral's name for it is "partial 16S ribosomal RNA". It matches the Rfam family "Bacterial small subunit ribosomal RNA", at positions 524 to 776 of the family's 1533-position model. The record is from RNAcentral.